Long non-coding RNA from Strongylocentrotus purpuratus (purple sea urchin), 639 nucleotides. RefSeq lists it as uncharacterized. The transcript is spliced from 3 exons. NCBI's taxonomy places the organism in Eukaryota, Metazoa, Echinodermata, Echinoidea, Camarodonta, Strongylocentrotidae. The record is from RefSeq and is a predicted model, not a curated record.
GUGUGCAUACCCGUUAGAAAAAUGUACUAUUAAGCGACCAGAACCAAUUUGCCUUUGCCUAUUACGUUACCAUGGAAGCUGCGAUAUGAACCACAUUAAUUAUUGUUGAGGGCAUGCACAUUCGCUGCAAAAUUACAGUGAUCGUCUCAUCACGUUCAUUCAAGUUUACGGCAACCAUCCUCGGUAUAAACAUAUUGUGCAGAUCUGUUUAUAUAUAGCCAUGAUGAUCUUUUAUGUGAUUACUCAUACUGGUGCACACAAAUGAUUUUAUGCCAUUCAACGCGAGGUUUUUGUGAUAUGACCCUUGGACAGCCUUCCUUUGAUCAGGCAGCCAAUGUGUGUUUAGUUCUCCAUCCGAAAUAUUGUUGAAACUCUCAUUGAUGUUGGGACAAGGUAUAUUGUGCUUUCAGUCUUCAUGAUCGUGUGCGCCCAACCGAACAGCUUAUAGGUCUGUUUCUCCUAUGUUCGUUUCAGUGCCAGUGGAAAGUGAUCAUGGAUACAACAAAAAGAAUGCGAAUCGUUUUAGCAAAUACCCCAAAUAAGCAAUCUGGUAGAAAAUUCUUUUUCAAUUGUAUAAUCAGCGUCAUGAUAGCGCUCGAACUGUCGUCUUACUGUAAAGCUCAGUGCUCAAAUCCCGGG